This 23-nucleotide non-coding RNA is filed under the name Cricetulus griseus (Chinese hamster). Lineage: Eukaryota; Metazoa; Chordata; Mammalia; Rodentia; Cricetidae. The record is from RNAcentral.
AACAAGGAGAGAAGGUAGAAUAA